RNAcentral lists this ribosomal RNA (252 nucleotides) under uncultured bacterium. RNAcentral describes it as "partial 16S ribosomal RNA". It matches the Rfam family "Bacterial small subunit ribosomal RNA", at positions 525 to 776 of the family's 1533-position model. The record is from RNAcentral.
ACGGAGGGGGUUAGCGUUGUUCGGAAUUAUUGGGCGUAAAGAGCUCGUAGGCGGUUUGUCACGUCUGCUGUGAAAUUUCGAGGCUCAACCUCGAACUUGCAGUGGGUACGGGCAGGCUAGAGUGCAGUAGGGGAGAUGGGAAUUCCUGGUGUAGCGGUGGAAUGCGCAGAUAUCAGGAGGAACACCAAUGGCGAAGGCACAUCUCUGGGCUGUAACUGACGCUGAGGAGCGAAAGCGUGGGGAGCGAACAGG